RNAcentral lists this long non-coding RNA (5580 nucleotides) under Sus scrofa (pig). Its description in RNAcentral is "lncRNA (ENSSSCG00005041134.1)". Lineage: Eukaryota; Metazoa; Chordata; Mammalia; Artiodactyla; Suidae. The record is from RNAcentral.
AGUGCCGCCCGGCCCUAAUUCGGACCCCUCCCAUCCUCCUCCGCCCCUCUCUGGGUCAGUGGCUGGGGUCCCGGGCUGGACUUGGGGCAGUGGGCGCGUGUGGUGGGGUUAGAGGGUCUGGGCGCGGACGGAGCUCUGCAGGCCUGGUCCGGCUCAGCAGCUGCCGUGCCGCCCAAGGCCCUCGGCGGCCCCAGGAGAGAGGUUAGGGCGGGUCCGGGGAGCGGUUCCGGGCCGCCCGGGCGCUCGUUCAGGUUUGUGAAGAUGAAGCACUGCAGGAAGGCCUUCUGAAGAUCAAGAAAAGGAAAAACAGAACAUUGCAGACUGAAAAAAACAAACAGGGCCACACUUGUGGCAUGUGGAAGUUUCCAGGCUUGGAGUCAAAUUGGAGCUGUAGCCAAUGGUCUACACCACAGCCACAGCAACAUGGGUUCCAAGCCACGUCUCCCACCUACACCACAGCUCACAGCAACGUUAGAUCUUUAAACUACUUAGCAAGGCCAAGAGUGGAACCCUGUCUGCAUGGAUACUAGUCAGUUCAUUACCGCUGAGCCAUUGCUGGAACUCUUGUUGAUGACUUGAAGAAUACAUUGAAGGUAGUAAAUACUUGUGAUGGACUCUUUGGAGAUGAGUAAAAUUUAGAAAUCAUGGUUUCUUCUAAAUUCGAAGAAGCUGAAGUUGGCUCUUUUUAUCCCAUUGUUAGUAGAUGUGCUCUCUACAGGUUUUUAAGAGUUUUGUUUGUUUUUGCGCUUUCUAUGAGUAUUUAGGUGAACCAACAUAAAUUUCUGGCUAUAGAAGAAAGGCUUGCUAAAGUGCAAUAUUUUUAUUGGAUGAUAUGACUUAUUAAAUGUUAAAAAUUCUUCCAUAUGUAAGAUAAACCAUUUUUGUAGCAUAGAUUGUGAUAUUAAAAAGUGCUUUACAUUUGUUUAGUUUGCUGAUUUAUACUGUUUGAAUUACUGGUCACCAUAUCUGAAUACUACUUCAGCAGUAGUUGCCUGGUGACCAGUGUACUUUGGUAUUUGAUCUGCUUUUAAGAAUCUCAACGGUGUUUGUAGAAUUAUAUUAUUUGUAUUAAUGUGUUCUUGAAUGUCAUUUAUGUCAACUAAUUUCUUUAGGUUAUAGAUUUCCGUUCUUUAGUAAAUAUAUAUUUUUCUCUUAUAAGGAAUGAGAUUCAUUUUAGUCAUUGUUUACUGGUAUGCAUUUUAUUUUUUCUUAGCUUUCACCUUGUGUUGAAGUGGUUUAAAAAAAAAAUUAAUGGUAGCUUAGCUACCACUGUUAAAAUGUGUUUCUUGUCAAGCUAUGAGUUUUAUGUUUGCUCUUCAAGGAAGAGAUGGCCAUUUUACAACUUGGAAAGGGGCUCAGAUAUUCAGUAACUUGCUCAAGUUAUUUCAUAGCUAAGGAAAAGAUAGAGGGAAUUGAAGGAGCUUUCCAUUUCAAAUCUGCUUUAAAGCCUACUCUCAUUCCAGGAUACCAUUUUUUUUUUUUUUUUUCUGAUUGUUAUUUUACCACUUAAAUCUGUUGGUCUUGGAGUUAGUUAAUAGUUAAUAUGUCAGACUGUGCUUGAUGCAUGUAGAAUACUGGUGCUGAAAGGGACCUGGAAUGACUCUUUCUAGGUAGAGAAGAUUAUACCUUAUCUAUUUACCUAAGAGGAUAAUUGCCUAUUUUGUUUAAAUUAACAGAAUAGUAUAUUAUAUGUUGCUUUAUGUACACAAAGCUGUUGACCCUGGCCAAAUUUGUUAAGGAAACUACAUUUUUUUCCCACCAUCUCUUUUUUCAAGUUUUCCCAUCUUCAGGAAUCUCAAGCCUUUUAGGAUAUUCUUGAGUCCAGCUUAUUAAUGAGAAAACUAAUCUAAGGAAUUGAUUUAUAUUAAUAACAUGGGUUAAUAAUUAAUGGUAGCUAUUAGUUGAUACACUCUAAGGGUAUCUUAGCAUUUUAAGAGAGAAUAUUGGUUGGUACUCUGUUUGAAGAAAUGGAUGGUGGGAUUUUUAUGCUUGUAUCCUGAUGGGCAAAACUUUUUAGGCAUAGAGGGCUCUUAAAAUCACUAUAUGUUAAGUUCCAGUAGUGUCUUAAAUGUAAACGUUUACAUAUUUCUUUUCCAUGAGAUGUUCAAUUACAGGUCCUUUCUGUAUUCUGUUUUGUAUAUUUAUUUGUACAGCAUCAUAGAAUUGGAAGGAGCAUCUCAAAAUUACUUAUUUCAGGCCCUCUGCCUUUUUUUGGUGAGUGCUCAGACAACUUGGGCUGUUGUAGAAACAGUCAAUAAAUUUAACACUCUUAAAAUUUCAUUUUGGAUAAAAAUGUUGUGAUCUGAUUUGUGUUUUGUUUUGAGAUAUCAUCAUGCCAUAGGAAAGGUAAGCAGUCUGUGUGGGCAGUUUCUUUGUGUUGGUAUUUACUGAGAUCAUUGGGUCAAUUACCUGGCUUCUAAGUAAGGAGGACAUAAACGACUGAAAUUGGGACCCCAGCAAAAGUAUCUCAAGAUAAUUUUACAAAAACCAAACGGUAGCUUGAAAGUUUUCAAGUUAAGUAUGUAUUCUGUAACAGUUAAUGUAAAAUCAGUCAAGUUUGUCUGUGGAUAAACAAUGCAGAAAUAUGUACAAAGUGCAUACUUUACAGAAUUUCUAGUGCAAAGAAUGCUGCUGUGUGCUAAUAGGUAUUCAUGCUUCAUGAUGAUGAGAAUGUGAAUGCUGAUUAAGUUCAAAAAAGAGCUAUAAAGUUGAUUUACUUUCCAGCUCUUGAAACGGAUGUAGUUUCCUUUAUGGAAAACGAACUGUGAUUAAAUCAAGAGAAUUUUAGUAUAAUGGUCUGAAGAUACAAAUAAUUGUGACUUAUACAAAUAAUUGUGACUUUAUUGUUGCAGGAGGGAUUUGAGUAUGAUUAAUUUUUUUCCUUUAUUUUUAUUAUAUUUUGAAUUGAGUUAUCAAAAUGUUGGAUGUCCUCUUUUUAAACUCAAGCAAAUGAAACCCAAAUUUUCUUGAGUGUGAAAAAGAUCAGUUAGGAGUUCUUUGGCCUUGAAUACAGUGGAAAUACUUGCUUAACUUCGUGAGUAGUUUAUAAUUAUGUACUUUCUAUAGUGAUGCAUUUAUUUCAGUCAUUUAUGAAACAAGUAUUUGUUGAGAGGCUACUGCAUACCAGGAACUUUGUUGAAUAUUGCAUACUCAAAUGAAUAGGGCAGACACAUCCUUAAAGAGAUGUUUGGGGUGGGAGGAGACAGACUUCUAAACUGAUAAUUAUAAUACAGUGUCAUAAAUGCUAGGUACAGUUACCACUGUGGGCAUCUGGAGUUUACUACCACUGGGGAACUCUCAGAGACCAAAUAGAAUAUACCUCAGAGUUCUCCCAAGCCAAGAGCAGGGGAGCUGCAGGUGUUUACCCACCAACUUCCUAGCCAUCAUUGACAUUAACUCUGGCAUUUCUGGCUUGCCCCAAGUACAAACUUGAGCAUGUUCCUACAGUCAGAAAGCAGUCCACAGCAGGGUAUUAUAGGUUUCAGAAUGAAGCGUCUUCCUGCAUAAAGGUGAGUGUCCACUGUAUAUGGGCAGGACACCAAUGGGAUUGGUUACCAGUAUCAGGCAUUUAUACAGUAUAUUAUCUGUUGUGUGCCAGGUGUUCAUUGCUCUAAAUGCUUUACAUAUCCAAACUCAUCAGUUCUCACAGUUCUCUGUGAGGCAAAUACUGUCAGUGUCCUCAUUUUACAGAUGAAGAAUUAGAGCAGAGAGAGGUUAAAUAACUUAUCCCUGGUCAUACAACUAUAACGUUAGAACUGGUAUUUGAACCCUCCUGGUCUAGUACAUAGUCCACACUCUUAAUGCAUAUAAUGGUCUGCCUUUGGAGCAAUACAAAAGCAGGACCUUUUGACUCUUCUGUUUUUCCCUGGUAACUGCUUCCUCUUUCUCCCUUCCUCUAAUUUCUUUCCUGCUAGUGUUCUUUACUUCCUUCCUGUUUAUAGCUUGCUCAUCUCCUGUUUCUAGAGCAGUGCAGCUGUUCUUCCUUCCAUUUUUAUACUCAGGGCUAUCAAAUAAUUCUUGCUAAGGCAUUAACUGAUCUUUCUGAUGUUUUGAUGAAGGCUUUGAGUUUGAUAUCAUUAGGUAUUUGCAUUUUAACUUUAUAAAAGGACAGGGAUUUAAAAACUAUAGAAAGAAAAACUUGGUGGUAGAAUGACAGAUGACCAAGUUGAUUCUUUUGGGUUGGGAGAUACCUAUUCGUAGGCCGUAGUUAUAAGGAGAGGCCAAGAGAUGUGUGCUUGGGCAGGAAAAGCCCCUUUCUCACCUGUUGUGUCCUGUCUUCCAACCACUACCCUCCGUUUUUCUUUUUAAAUUGUGGGAAGUAUUACAUGACAGUUGUAAAACAUUUAAAUAAUAGGUAUGAAGAGUGAAAAAAAGUCCUGCUUUACUCAUCCUUUUCCUUCCCUUAAACCGUCUCCCAGUGUUCUCCUUUGAGGUGACCACUCAUGGCUUUGCUAAUGUUUCUGCAGAUUGGUAAAAGUAGGUAUAUAUACACACACCUUACAUAUGCCAUAUAUAUCUAUAUGGUAGUACAUAUGUACUACAUACAAUAAGAUAGUCUUUUCUUUUUAAACAUAAGUGAACUACUAUUCAGUUUGUUGCUCAACUUGUUUUUCUUCUGCUGACAUUAUGUAUAUCCUAGACAUUUCUCUGUAUUAUCCCCUGUAGAACUAUUUUGUUCUUUUAAAAAAUGCUGCAUAUUAUUUUCUAUGGCAAGAGUGUACCAUAAUUUACUUAACUGUUGUUUCCCUAUUAUUUGACAUUUUCCCCUAUUUUCUCAGUCUGAUAUAUAAUGCUGCAGUGAUUAUCCUUGAAAAAACAUCAUGUCUAAGUGUUUCUCAGAAAUAAAUAUAGCCCUAGAACUGAAAUAUUAAGUCAAAGUCAAAGCAUGCUCAUUUUUAUAGUAUCUGAUAAAUUGUUCUUCUUAAGGCAGUUUACUCCCCUUGACUAUGUAUGACUACCCAUUUCCCCAUACUUUUGUCAAUAUAGUUGUUUGUAAUCUUUCUAAUUUUUGCAUUUAUGACUAGUGGCUGAUAAAUUGUGAUUGUCCACAGUUGCUAAUGACAUUGAUUAUAUUUGUUAAUUGCAUGUUUAUAUAUUUCCUCAUAUUUCUAUUAGAUUAUUUGUAUUUUUGGUAUUGAUUUGUAGGAUGACCUCUAUUCUUGUAGGACCAAAUCAAGCUUUGGUCUUCUAUCUCUAAGACUCUGAUGAUGCAAGGACUAAAUGUUUUAUUCCUUUCUGUUAAGGGGAGAGAAAAUAGGUUAAAUGUAGUAUUUGAAAAUAUUUUAAAAGUAAUUCAUUUUGGAAAGUAGUCUUGGAGUUCCUGUCGUGGCUUAGUGGUUAAUGAACCCGACUAGGAUCCAUGAGGACAAGGGUUCGAUCCCUGGCCUUGCUCAGUGGGUUGAGGAUCCAGCAUUACUGUGAGCUGUGGUGUAGGUCACAGACGAAGCUCAUAUCCAGCUCAUAUCCCGUUUUGCUGUGGCUGUAACGUAGGCUGGCAACUACAGCUCAGAUUCGACCCUUAGCCCGGCAACUUCCAUAUGCCGAGGAUGCAGCCCUAAAAAGACGAAAGAAAAAAAAAAA